GGAGAGGUGCCGGAGUGGUCGAACGGGCCGGUUUCGAAAACCGGUGACGGAUUAAUUUUCGUCCGCGGGUUCGAAUCCCGCCCUCUCCG
This 89-nucleotide transfer RNA is filed under the name Planctomycetota bacterium. RNAcentral describes it as "Planctomycetes bacterium tRNA-Ser". It matches the Rfam family "tRNA". From Rfam's summary of the family: Transfer RNA (tRNA) molecules are approximately 80 nucleotides in length. Their secondary structure includes four short double-helical elements and three loops (D, anti-codon, and T loops). The record is from RNAcentral. RNAcentral also lists the same sequence under 1 other name. Lineage: Bacteria; Pseudomonadati; Planctomycetota.